UCCGGUGACGAUAGCAACGAGGUCCCACCUGUUCCCAUACCGAACACAGAAGUUAAGCUCGUUUACGCCAGAAGUACUUGCCUUUUAAGGCUGGGAGAUAAGGUAGUUGCCGGAU
RNAcentral lists this ribosomal RNA (115 nucleotides) under Clostridia bacterium. The record is from RNAcentral. Lineage: Bacteria; Bacillati; Bacillota; Clostridia.